This 397-nucleotide ribosomal RNA is filed under the name uncultured bacterium. RNAcentral's name for it is "partial 16S ribosomal RNA". It matches the Rfam family "Bacterial small subunit ribosomal RNA", at positions 523 to 918 of the family's 1533-position model. The record is from RNAcentral.
AUACGUAGGGGGCGAGCGUUGUCCGGAAUGAUUGGGCGUAAAGGGCGCGUAGGCGGCGCGGUAAGUCUGGAGUGAAAGUCCUGCUUUCAAGGUGGGAAUUGCUUUGGAUACUGCCGCGCUUGAGUGCAGGAGAGGUUAUCGGAAUUCCCGGUGUGGCGGUGAAAUGCGUAGAGAUCGGGAGGAACACCAGUGGCGAAGGCGGGUAACUGGACUGCAACUGACGCUGAGGCGCGAAAGUGUGGGGAGCAAACAGGAUUAGAUACCCUGGUAGUCCACACUGUAAACGAUGAAUGCUAGGUGUAAGAGGUAUCGACCCCUUUUGUGCCGGAGUCAACACAAUAAGCAUUCCGCCUGGGGAGUACGGCCGCAAGGUUGAAACUCAAAUGAAUUGGCGGGG